UCUCCGUAGGUGAACCUGCGGAGGGAUAAUUACUGAGUGAGGGCUCCGGUCAGACCUCAAACCCUUUGUGAACCACACUUGUUGCUUCGGGGGCGACCCUGCCGCUUCGGCGGUGCGGCGCCCCCGGAGGCCAUUAAACACUGCAUCAUUGCGUCGGAGUUAAAGUAAAUUAAACAAAACUUUCAACAACGGAUCUCUUGGUUCUGGCAUCGAUGAAGAACGCAGC
Molecule: unclassified non-coding RNA, 226 nt
Filed under: uncultured fungus
Lineage: Eukaryota; Fungi
Description: sequence contains ITS1, 5.8S rRNA gene
Rfam family: 5.8S ribosomal RNA (bases 178-226)
Source: RNAcentral